AUGUGAAGACUACAGCACUCC
This 21-nucleotide non-coding RNA is filed under the name Rattus norvegicus (Norway rat). The record is from RNAcentral. Lineage: Eukaryota; Metazoa; Chordata; Mammalia; Rodentia; Muridae.